GGGUGCGAUCCUACUAGUACUAAUACACCGGAUUCCAUCGGAACUCCGCAUUUAAGCGUGCUUGGGCGAGUGUAGUACUACGAUGGGUGACCUCCUAGGAAGUCCACGUGUUGCACCAU
RNAcentral lists this ribosomal RNA (119 nucleotides) under Gossypium raimondii (Peruvian cotton). Lineage: Eukaryota; Viridiplantae; Streptophyta; Magnoliopsida; Malvales; Malvaceae. The record is from RNAcentral.